Molecule: ribosomal RNA, 2965 nt
Filed under: Triticum aestivum (bread wheat)
Lineage: Eukaryota; Viridiplantae; Streptophyta; Magnoliopsida; Poales; Poaceae
Description: partial small subunit ribosomal RNA
Source: RNAcentral
GAAGGAGAAGAAGAGCGCCCCGAUCCCCUCCCCCUCCCCCUCCAGAUCACACCACCACCGUCUCCGCCCCCAAAUCCAUUCCCAGGCCCGCGUCUCUGCUGCCGCGCGCGAGCUCGUGAGCUCGGGCUGGGUUUUAGGGCUCCAGGUCUCCGCGUCCCCGCGCCCUCCGCCUACCGGGGUUAGGGUUACGCCGCGGUCGUCGGGGACCGUGUGGCUGCGGGGCGCCGCGGGCCGAUGCGGCGAUCGCCGGCGAUCGAGACGCUCUAGCGGAGGGGAUCUGCUGCCGCUGCGGUUUCUCCUGCGAUGGCCGCCGACGCGCUCUCCAUCAUCCCGGGCGCCGUGCUGCGCAACCUCGCCGACAAGCUCUACGAGAAGCGGAAGAACGCCGCGCUCGAGAUUGAGGGGAUCGUGAAGCAGCUGUCCACGGCGGGGGAGCACGACAAGAUUGCGGCUGUGAUCGGGCUGCUCACAAACGAUUUCACAUACUCCCCCCAGGCGAACCACCGGAAGCAGGGCGGAUUGAUUGGGCUCGCGGCAGUUACUGUAGGCCUCACCAGUGAGGCUGCUCAGCACCUCGAGCUAAUUGUACCUCCCGUGCUUAAUUCUUUCCUGGACCAAGAUAGCAGAGUGCGCUACUAUGCCUGUGAAGCGCUAUAUAACAUAGCAAAGGUUGUAAGAGGGGAUUUUAUCAUCUACUUCAACAAGAUUUUUGAUGCGCUAUGCAAACUGUCUGCAGAUUCUGAUGCAAAUGUGCAGAGUGCAGCUCAUCUUCUUGACAGGCUUGUCAAGGAUAUUGUAACUGAGAGUGAUCAAUUCAGCAUAGAAGAAUUUAUACCACUCUUGAGAGAACGCAUGAAUGUGCUGAAUCCUUAUGUGCGACAAUUUUUGGUGGGAUGGAUCACGGUUUUAGACAGUGUGCCUGAUAUUGACAUGCUUGGUUUCCUUCCUGAUUUUCUUGAUGGCUUAUUUAAUAUGCUGAGUGAUUCCAGUCAUGAGAUAAGGCAGCAAGCAGAUGCAGCACUUUCAGAGUUUCUGCAGGAAAUAAAAAAUUCACCAAAUGUAGAUUAUGGUCGUAUGGCUGAAAUUCUUGUUAGGAGGGCAGGCUCUCCUGAUGAAUUCACUCGUUUGACAUCUAUCACAUGGAUCAACGAGUUUGUGAAACUUGGUGGGGAACAACUAGUCCCUUACUAUGCAGAUAUCUUGGGAGCUAUCUUGCCAUGCAUCUCUGACGAGGAGGAGAAAAUUCGAGUGGUUGCACGUGAAACUAAUGAGGAACUUCGAGCUAUAAAAGCUGAUCAAGCCGAGGGAUUUGACAUUGGAGCGAUUCUUGUGAUCGCAAAGAGAGAAUUGAAUAGCGAACAUGAAGCCACUCGGAUUGAGGCAUUGCACUGGUUUUCCACUUUACUAGUUCGAGGUCGUGCUGAGUUCUCGGCAUACCUGGAUGGCAUUUUUGAACCACUUCUAAAUGCACUCUCCGAUCCUUCAGAUGCGGUUGUCCUUUUAGUGUUGGAAGUUCAUGCACGCAUAGCUGAAGAGUAUCAUCACUUCCAGCAUCUCAUGUCUUACUUAAUCCACACUUUCCACAACAAUCAUGUUCUUCUGGAGAAGCGUGGUGCUUUGAUUGUUCGUCGACUUUGUGUUCUUCUGGGUGCUGAAAAAGUUUAUCGAGAGUUUUCUACUAUUCUUCAGAGUGAAGGUGACCUUGAUUUUGCCUCCACCAUGGUUCAGGCACUGAAUUUGAUUUUGCUCACAUCUACUGAACUUGCGGAGCUGCGGUCUCUUCUUAAGAAGUCAUUGGUGGAUACUUGUGGGAAGGACUUAUUUCUAUCUUUAUACGCUUCUUGGUGCCACUCUCCAAUGGCUACAAUCAGCUUGUGCUUACUCGCUCAGGUGGCAUACAAUCAUGCGAGUUCUGUUAUUCAGUCUCUGGGAGAAGAAGACAUAAAUGUGAAGUUUCUGGUGCAGCUAGAUAAAUUGAUCCGUCUAUUAGAGACUCCAGUAUUUGCUUACUUGCGUUUACAGCUUCUUGAGCCUGGAAAACACACUUGGCUUCUGAAAACACUUUACGGUCUCCUUAUGCUCUUGCCUCAGCAAAGUGCGGCCUUCAAGAUCUUGAGGACGCGACUGAAGACGGUUCCUUUCAGUGAAAAUCUCAAGCGCACAUCUUCUGCAAAUCCAUACUCUCAGAUUCUACAAGUGACAGAAGAUGGCAAUCGAAAUCAAGAUGCGCCAAACUAUAGCGCAAUCGAUUUUUCAUCUCGUCUCCAGCAAUUUGGGAGCAUGCAGCAGCAGCACCGAAACCAUUUGAAGAAUCAACUGCAAUCUCGAAAAUCCGCUUCAGCAGCAGUGUUAUCACAGGAGAUUCAAAGAUAUGAAGAAUCACAAUCCUCCUCAACACCAGAGAUAAGCAGGCCCCCAUCUAGAGCACCCAAAGCCAUUUCAUGAUGCACAUAUGGUUGCUUGUGAUGUAUGGUACGUUUGCAGGACGCAUCGUCACAAAUUUGUCGGGGCUUGGUUGGUCUCCUUUAGUUUUUUCCAAAGGAGGUUGCAUAGGGGGGGUACAUAGAGUGUAAUCUUUUUUGUUUGGUUCCUAGAUUUUGUCAUGGGAUGGCAAUUAUUUGUUGGAGAAAGCUCGUUUCCAUUCUCCCUUUAGUGAUUCUUAUUUUUUUUUCUUAGAUGUUCUACUGCUCAUCUGGUUUCUGUAAUUUUUCAAUUGAAGGCCAUAUGAGCAUAGUAGUAUCUGGAGAUAUGUUACAACUGUUCUGCGUACCAAUCUCCAAUAAAUUUAGCGAUAUGCGGUGUAAAUUUCUGUCUCUACCUUUGUGGCCUGGUAUAUGUAGCCUUUUGCAAUUAAGCAUGCAUUUUUUAGACCUUGUCCAUACAUCGGUUUAUUUGGGAGCAAGAUCUGCGCUUAACCCUUUGUAUCAACAUAUUAGUUCCAAACUGCUCUCGAAUUGAUCUGCCC